UACGUAGGGGGCGAGCGUUGUCCGGAAUCAUUGGGCGUAAAGCGCGUGUAGGCGGUCCGGUAAGUCCGCUGUGAAAGUCGGGGGCUCAACCCUCGGAUGCCGGUGGAUACUGUCGGGCUUGAGUACGGAAGAGGCGAGUGGAAUUCCUGGUGUAGCGGUGAAAUGCGCAGAUAUCAGGAGGAACACCAGUGGCGAAGGCGGCUACCUGGCACAUAACUGACGCUGAUACGCGAAAGCGUGGGGAGCGAACCGG
Molecule: ribosomal RNA, 253 nt
Filed under: uncultured bacterium
Lineage: Bacteria
Description: partial 16S ribosomal RNA
Rfam family: Bacterial small subunit ribosomal RNA
Source: RNAcentral